AGACAAUGACUAUUGAUAUUUGGUCUUGUUCAUCGUAACUGGCAUCUUUUGGCCUUGCCAACCAUUCUGUUAUACGACCACCUAUAUUCUGAGUUU
This is a small nucleolar RNA of Triticum dicoccoides, 96 nucleotides long. RefSeq annotates it as small nucleolar RNA Z43. Lineage: Eukaryota; Viridiplantae; Streptophyta; Magnoliopsida; Poales; Poaceae. The record is from RefSeq and is a predicted model, not a curated record. The transcript has a single exon.